AAUGAACGCUGGCGGCGUGGUUAAGACAUGCAAGUCGAACGGUUUUCAUUGAAGGGCAACCGGAUAUGAAAGCAGUGGCGAACGGGUGCGUAACACGUGAACAAUCUACCUCCAAGUGGGGAAUAGCUCGCCGAAAGGACGAAUUAAUACCGCAUGUGGUAGUUUCUCGCAUGAGAGACUUACUAAAGUCAGGGACCGCAAGGCCUGACGCUAGGAGAGGAGUUCGCGGCCCANCAGCUAGUUGGCGAGGUAACGCUCACCAAGGCUAAGACGGGUAGCUGGUCUGAGAGGAUGAUCAGCCACACU
Molecule: ribosomal RNA, 306 nt
Filed under: uncultured bacterium
Lineage: Bacteria
Description: bacterial SSU rRNA
Rfam family: Bacterial small subunit ribosomal RNA
Source: RNAcentral